GCUCUGCUGCUCAAUGUUGACAAGGACUUUGCAGUGGUCAGCAUCAAGGCCAACAUCAGCUGAGGUGAACCCGAUGCCUCUGCAAGUGUCGCGUACUAUCUUCUCAUAAUCCACUUUGGCCUUGGUUGUUAUCUCUCCAAAGACCAUGACCAUGUUUGUCUUUGUGCAGGUUUCACAUGCAACCUUGCUCUCUGGAUCUUGUUCUAGGCAAGCGUCAAGAAUGGCAUCUGAGACCUGGUCGCAAAGCUUGUCGGGAUGCCCUUCGUUAACUGAUUCCUCAGGAGUUUCGUCGGUGGCAUAGCCAAACAUGUGUCCUUGGUCACCAGCUCCAAUUUCCUCUGGUUUCUUUGUAAGAUGCCCGUGAACUCCUUGGGCAAUGUCAGGGCUCUGCUGCUCAAUAUUGACAAGGACCUUGCAGUGGUCAGCAUCAAGGCCGACAUCAGGUGAGGUGAAUCCAAUGCCUCUGCAAGUAUCACGUACUAUCUUCUCAUAGUCUACAUUGGCUUUGGUUGUUAUCUCACCAAAGACCAUGACCAUGUUUGUCUUUGUGCAGGUUUCACAUGCAACCUUGCUCUCUGGAUCUUGAGCAAGGCAAGCAUCAAGAAUGGCAUCUGAGACUUGGUCACAGAGCUUGUCGGGAUGGCCUUCAUUGACUGAUUCUGAGGUGAACAAGAAAGUUUCCAUGUCUUCCC
This 692-nucleotide long non-coding RNA is filed under the name Nicotiana benthamiana. RNAcentral's name for it is "long non-coding RNA (NBEN_LNC019117)". Lineage: Eukaryota; Viridiplantae; Streptophyta; Magnoliopsida; Solanales; Solanaceae. The record is from RNAcentral.